CAAACGGGUGAGUAACACGUAAGUAACCUAGCUCUAAAUCUGGAAUAACUCUGNCAACGCGGAGCUAAUACCGGAUGUGGUCACGAUGCUGCAUGGUAUUGUGACUACAGGUGACCUCUCCUUGGAAGUUACCGUUUAGAAGAUGGGGCUUGCGGACCAUUAACUAGUUGGUGAAGUAACGGCUCACCAAAGCUACCGAUGGAUAGCCGGCCUACGAUGGUGAUCGGCCACAUUGGGACUGAGAUACGGCCCAGACUCCUAACGGGACGCAACACUACGGACUUUUGCGCCAUGGACGAAAGUCUGACACAGCAACGCCGCGUGAGGGAUGACGGCCUUCGGGUUGUAACACCUCUGUUGAGUGCGACAGAAAAGCUUUGUGGUUAAUAUCCACACGAGUCUGACGGUACCACUCGAGGAAGCUCCGGCUAACUACGGUGCCAGCAACCGCAGUAAUACGUAUGGGGCUAACGUUGUUCGAAAUCACUUGGGCCGUAACAAGAGUGUAAGCCGACCGGUAAGUUAGGAGUUACAUGUACGGGCUCAACCCGUGAUCUGCUUUUAAUACUGUCGGUCUUGAGUAUGGGAGAGGGAGAUGGAAUUCCAGGUGUACCGGUGGAAUGCGUAGAUAUCUGGAAGAACACCAGUUGCGAAGCCGGUCUCCUGGACCAAUACUGACGCUGAUGCUCGAAAGCUGGGGGAGCGAACAGGAUUAGAUACCCUGGUAGUCCCAGCCGUAAACGAUGGACACUAGUUGCCGGAGGAGUCAAUCCCUUCGGUGACGAAGCUAACGCAUUAAGUGUCCCGCCUGGGGAGUACGCUCGCAAGGGUGAAACUCAAAGGAAUUGACGGGGGCCCGCACAAGCGGUGGAGCAUGUGCUUUAAUUCGAUGCAACGCGAAGAACCUUACCUGGGUUUGACAUGGGGGUGAAAGUUUCCAGAGAUGGAAGCCUUUCCUUCGGGAACACCCCACACAGGUGCUGCAUGGUUGUCGUCAGCUCGUGUCGUGAGAUGUUGGGUUAAGUCCCGCAACGAGCGCAACCCCUGCCCUUAGUUGCCAUCAGGUAAAGCUGGGAACUCUAAGGGGACAGCUUGGUAUAACCAGGAGGAAGGUGGGGAUGACGUCAAAUCAUCAUGGCUCUUACGCCCAGGGCUAGACACGUGCUACAAUGGCAGGUACAGUGGGAUGCCAGCCUGCGAAGGUGAGCUAAUCCCUUAAAACCUGUCUCAGUCCGGAUUGGAGUCUGCAACUCGACUCCAUGAAGUUGGAAUCGCUAGUAAUCGCGGAUCAGCAUGCCGCGGUGAUACGUUCCCGGGCCUUGUACACACCGCCCGUCAAGCCAUGAAAGGCGGUAGUACCCGAAGUCGCGUACCCAACCGUAAGGAGGGAAGCGCCGAAGGUAAGACUGCUAAUUGGG
This 1418-nucleotide ribosomal RNA is filed under the name uncultured organism. RNAcentral's name for it is "bacterial SSU rRNA". It matches the Rfam family "Bacterial small subunit ribosomal RNA". The record is from RNAcentral.